AAACUUUCAACAACGGAUCUCUUGGUUCCGGCAUCGAUGAAGAACGCAGCGAAAUGCGAUAAGUAAUGUGAAUUGCAGAAUUCCGUGAAUCAUCGAAUCUUUGAACGCACAUUGCGGCCCCCUGGCAUUCCGGGGGGCAUGCCUGUUCGAGCGUCAUU
RNAcentral lists this ribosomal RNA (158 nucleotides) under Microsporum canis. RNAcentral describes it as "5.8S ribosomal RNA". It matches the Rfam family "5.8S ribosomal RNA". From Rfam's summary of the family: 5.8S ribosomal RNA (5.8S rRNA) is a component of the large subunit of the eukaryotic ribosome. Lineage: Eukaryota; Fungi; Ascomycota; Eurotiomycetes; Onygenales; Arthrodermataceae. The record is from RNAcentral.